This is a long non-coding RNA of Rhincodon typus (whale shark), 499 nucleotides long. RefSeq lists it as uncharacterized. The record is from RefSeq and is a predicted model, not a curated record. The transcript is spliced from 3 exons. Lineage: Eukaryota; Metazoa; Chordata; Chondrichthyes; Orectolobiformes; Rhincodontidae.
CACAUAGUGACAACUUCCUAUGCACAGUGAGUUAUUGCACAAAGAGGGUGAGAGUGGAAAAAAAGUACACAGUAUUUUGCAUUCCUAUCACAUUGAUGCUGCUGUAGUCAGAGAACGGAAUGAGCAUAGGCUCUAAACAGUGUCUUACUGAGCUAGUUGGCAAGAAGCUGUCAGAAGACAAAGCAGCAACAGCAGAGAUGUGGGCAUCACUGGACAUGCUUAAUUGCCCUUGAGAAGGUGGUGGCGAGCUGCCUUCUUGAACCAUUGCAGUCCACUUGACCAAUGCCAUUAAAAGGGGAGUUUCAGGAUUUUGAACAAGCAGCACUGAAGGAACGGUGAUACAGUUCCAAAUCAAGAUGACACUUCUUUCAACAAAAUUUUGAACGGAGCAAGAGGAGUACCUUUCUGCUGCUUCCUAGUUGCCACCGUCAGUAAUCCUUAAGGAUCCCAACGACAUAUCAAGCAAUGAAAAACUGGUGCCAGUUGGCAGACUGAAUGA